CUCACACAUACAUACUCACACAUGCACACAUACUCCCAUGGACACACAGAACCUGGCACUGGAGGAAGUACCAGCUCUGUUUCCCUUCAAGGUGACUAUUGGACUCAGACUUUGCCUUGGGUGAACCUAGGGUUCCUGGUUUAGGGGAGUCUCCCCAACAGGGAGGGCACAUACUUUUAAGAAAAUCACAAGCCAAGGGAAAAUUCUAAUAUAAAUUAGAAGUUUUCUCUUUUUUUCCAUUCAUUUAUUUAGCUCAUAAAUAAAGUCAUGCACAAUUAUGGUACACAAUACAGUAUGUACAAGUUUUCUUUUCUUAAUGGUAUUAAAAUAUACAUAUAAAGCUAACACCAUUUUUUUUUAAGAUUUUAUUUAUUUAUUAUGUAUACAACAUUCUGCUUCCAUGUAUAUCUGCACACCAGAAGAGGGCACCAGAUCUCAUAACGGAUGGUUGUGAGCCACUAUGUGGUUGCUGGGAAUUGAACUCAGGACCCCUGGAAGAGCAGUCGGUGCUCUUAACCUCUGAGCCAUCUUUCCAGCUGACUAAGACCAUUUUUUAAAACAGAAAAAUAUGAAUUUCCCUAACUAUAUUAGAAUAAAACAAACAAAACAAAACAGGACUACAGCCUGGAGAGGCAGGUCAGUAAUUAAAGCACUUGCCACACAAGCAAGCAACAGGAAUGGAAUCCAGAUUCCAGAAGCCAAGCAAAAGCCAUCUCAGGUGUGAUGACCACCUGGAUUCAGCCUUGGGAGGGGAACCUGGAGAAAACUGGUUAUCGAGACCAGCCAUAUCUGUUAGCUCUAGGUUUGAUUGAGAGAUCCUGCCUCAAAAAAGGUGAUGGAACAAUAAAGAUUCUGAGUAAUAGCACAAUCUAACAAGUGUAGUCAAAGAAGUUCCUUCAUUAACUUAGAGGAAAAAGCAGAAAAAAACAAACCAAGCAAUAAAAAGGAUCUAUCUUUACUAAUCUGGGAUUUUAGUCUAUUCCAACUUCAAGUAGGCAUGGUGGCUCAUUCCUGUAAUCCCAGGAGUCAGGAUGCGGGCUGGAGGAUUUCAGCAAAUACCAGGCCAGCUGGGACUACACAGAGAGACUCUGUCUCAAAACAAAAUAAACUAAAGAAAGAAAUUUAAGAAGGAAAAUGAUAUGAUCAUUUUAAUAGAAAUGAAAAAGCACUCUGUAAGAUUCAGUAUGUACUCAUUUCCUAGAAAACCAGGAAUACACACACACACACACACACACACACACACACACACACACUCACACACACACACACUCACACACACUCACACACUCACACACACACACACUCACACACACACUCACACACACACACACACACACACACACACACUCACACACACACUCACACACACACACUCACACACACACACACACUCACACUCACACACACACACACACUCACACACACACACACUCACACACACACUCACACACACACACACACUCUCACACACACACACUCACACACACACUCACACACACACUCACAC
Molecule: long non-coding RNA, 1507 nt
Filed under: Cricetulus griseus (Chinese hamster)
Lineage: Eukaryota; Metazoa; Chordata; Mammalia; Rodentia; Cricetidae
Description: lncRNA (ENSCGRG00015041560.1)
Source: RNAcentral